GUGUCUUUGUUUAGAACCAAAUGUUAGUGUGUCUGUGUGUACAUCUAAUUGUUAGUGUGUCUGUGUGUAGAUCUAACUUGUGUGUCUUUGUGUACAUCUAAAUGUUAGUGUGUGCCUUUGUUUAGAACCAAAUGAUAGUGUAUCUGUGUGUACAUCUAAUUGUUAGUGUGUCUGUGUGUACAUCUAAAUAUUAAUGUGUCUUUGUGUACAUCUAAAUGUUAGUGUGUGUCUUUGUUUAGAACCAAAUGUUAGUGUGUCUGUGUGUACAUCUAAUUGUACAUCUAAAUUUGCCAGCGUGUCUAAAUGUUAGUGUGUCUCUGAGUACAUCUGUGUGUGUGUGCGUGUGUGUGGGGGUGUGUGUGUGUGUCAUGAGUAGAUCUGGAUUUGCUCCUGAGGGGUUGACGCGGCGUCCUGAUGGCGUCCUGAUGGAAUCCUUAUGGCGUCCCUAUGACGUGGCGUCCUGAUAGCGUCCUGAUGGUGUCCCGAUGACGUAGCGUCCCGAUGACGUGGCGUCCUGAUGGCGUCCUGUUGGUCUGCAGACAAGGAGAAGAGACGUGAGGAUGGUCAUCAGGAUGUGUCUGUGUGUACAUCUAAUUGUUAGUGUGUAUGUGUGUAGAUCUAAUUGUUAGUGUGUCCGUGUGUACAUCUAAUUGUUAGUGUGUCUGUGUGUAGAUCUAAUUGUUAUUGUGUCUUUGUGUACAUCUAAAUAUCAGUGUGUGUCUUUGUUUAAAACCAAAUG
Gasterosteus aculeatus aculeatus (three-spined stickleback) is the source of this 739-nucleotide long non-coding RNA. The record is from Ensembl. Lineage: Eukaryota; Metazoa; Chordata; Actinopteri; Perciformes; Gasterosteidae.